RNAcentral lists this long non-coding RNA (3111 nucleotides) under Lupinus angustifolius (narrow-leaved blue lupine). RNAcentral describes it as "long non-coding RNA (LANG_LNC000533)". The record is from RNAcentral. Lineage: Eukaryota; Viridiplantae; Streptophyta; Magnoliopsida; Fabales; Fabaceae.
CAAGAAGAAAGGAGAUUGGGGUUUUAAAUGAAUCAGAAAAUCAAAGGUGGUCAUUGUUGUGGUAGGAGUAAUUGAAUUGAUUGAUUUCUGAAGGCGUAGAGAGAAAGAGAGAAGAAAUGGAAGGUGAAGGUGAAGAAGUAAACAUACAGUAAUUGGCUUCCAAUCUCUCUCUAUAUAAAGAUCAACUUCACCAGGUCAGUCACUCUCCCUUCUAUGUGUUAGGGUUUAUAUUUCAUAACUUUAUUCUACUUUAGCAAAUUGGAAUAAUCAUAUAAUCACUCUUAUCCCCACCUCUCUCCCUCACUCUAAUUUCAAUCAUUUAACAUUUUGUCAUCGUGGAAUUUUAGGCCAGAGGUUAUUAAUUAAUAAAUGAAUAAAUAUUGUAUAACAUUUUCAUCAAAUAAUGAUGCUACCUUUAAAAAUAUAUAUAUGCGAAUCACACUAUGUAUAAACUUUCGUUCACAGUAGACUUUGCACAUUGGUUUGUGCAAUAACUGUCUCCAGUUUAAUAAAACCACUGGUUGCAGAUAGUCUUUGUGUGGAGCAUUUUAUAUCUGAUGUGUGGCUUGAUUUUAAAUAAAGUUUGAUUUUUGUUAGGGUUUCAGUUUCUGGGUUCUUCCAAAGGUGGUGUAUUUUGUUGAGAUCGGGUGGUAAUUGGGAGUUAGGGUUUUGGGUUAUUUGAGUUCUUUGUGUUAGUGGUUUUGAAGAAGGAGGAGUGGGGUUUCUGUGAUGAGCUUGUAUUGGAGUUUGAAUUAUUGUUUGGAUCUGAGGUUAGCUAUAUAAUCAGAUAUGGAUAGAAAGUUCUGGGCUUUAGUUUUCAUCUUCUCUAUUUUAUUAUUGCAUCCACUAUGCUUCAUCUCUGCUAACAUUGAAGGUUUGUAUCAAAUUUCAAAACAACACUACCCAAAAGAUGAAAGUAAAAUAAUUACCCUAUUGGGGAGGUGAGUAUACUAAGGGGGUUCAUUUGUUUAGACUAUUUCACACCAAAAAAGUGAUUCCUUUGGUUGAAAAAACAUCACUUUUAACAUUUAUAUGCUUGUUCUGUAACUUCUGUUGCAGAUUAAAUUUAAAAAAAAAUUAUCCGAAUAAAUAAUCUGAACUUUUCAGCUUUCCUAUUAAGGUAACUUUUGGAUAAUCACUUUUUUAAAGCGGUACUAAAUCAUCAAAGCCUAAUCAACACAAAUUUACAGUACCAAGUAAUAUACAGCAACAAAAUCAACUCUUGGGUUUGUAAAGAUGAAAAUUGUAGUGCUUGCAAGAUGAAAACUGUAUAUUUUAAAAUAUAAUAUUUAAAUUUUAAUAUUAUGAUAUCCUUAUUAUUUUAAAAAUAAUAAUAAGGAUAUCAUUUUAUUUUGAACUAAUAAUAAGGACAUCAAGUCUACUUUACAUAUGUAUAUAUUAUAAAAUCUAGCAGAGGGAUAUAGGAUAAUGUUUGAUCUUCUAUUUCUUUCUUUUCUUUUUGGAGUAGGGAUAUAGGAUAUGUUUCUUUCAUAAUAAUAUUUGUUUUAUUUUCUUUUGUAGUCUAAAGAGUAGGAUGUUCAUUAUGAAGUUUAUAAGUAGUAACAUAUAUUAUAGAACAUAGAAAAUCAGAAGAAAAAAAGCAAAGAGUUGAAAAGUACCUGAAAAUGUUUGAAGUUACACAAACUGGUUCAUCAAAUAAUGAUGCAACCUAUGAUAGUCCCUAGUUAAGUGGUGAAAUCUGUACAAACAUACAGUCUGAAUUAACAACAAAUAAAAAUAGAAGUUUAUGUGUGUUGCAACUUAAUGGUUAUUACCAUAUUUAGAUUUUAAAUUGGUUAUAGAAGAGAGAAAAAUAGAAGAAAAAACAGGAUGGUAUGAGAAAUACCUGAGAGUUGGAAGAAAUUAUUUUGUGAAGCCAAUAAAUUAUUGGUUCUAAUGAAACAAAUUCCAAGCCAAGGUGAGUAGUAGUAGUAGCAUGUUCUUCAAUAAACAACACAAUAAAAGUAGAAGUUCUGGUGAGUUAUUGGUUAUUAAGAGAUCUUAAAUUUGUUAUAGUAGAGAGAAAAAUGAAAAAAGAAAUAGAGAAAGGAUGAGAAAUACCUGAAAUGAGAAAUAAAUUAUUAGUUCUAAUCAAACAAAUUCCAAGCCAAGAUGAGUAGUACUAAUAGCAAUAUGUGAGGGUGAUACCUAACUUUAACCCCAAUUACCUCUAGUAGUACUAAUAGCAUAUGAUUUAUGAAAAGUUGUUGGAAUAGAAUAAUUAAUCAUUGUUGUGAUGUGGAUGUGUGUUGAUGAUGUGCAGAGAGUGAGAGGUCAUUCGUAGUACUAAAAGUUUUAUUAUUGAUAAUGCUUAGGAUUUGAUUAAGUGAGUUUGAGGCCCGAUAAUAUUUUAUUUCUUGAAAAAUGCCCUUGAAUAUUGCCAUGAUAUAGAAAAUGGCAGUUUUGUAGCUGUUGAAAACCUUCUUCAUUAACUGGUGUAAAUAAUGGCAGUUUUGUAACUUGGUGGUAUUGGUGUUCAGUUUUUUAACUGGCAAUAAAAUGUGGCAUUAUCUUUGUUAAGUUUUACCCAUGAUGAGGAUGAUUUUGCAUGAUAUGUUUACAUAGUUGGUUUUAUAUAGUAUCAGGGCAACUAUCUUAUGUGUUUUAUAUAAAUUUGACAGGCACGGUACAGUUCUCAACUAUUUCUGACCAAUUAGUAUUUUAUGUUCCCACUUUAAAUACACAUGAUCUAAAUAUGUGCUUAUGGAUGUUUGUUUAUUGUUUUUUGUAUUAUCAGAGUGAUCCAUGAUUCUGGUUUCUCUUGAUGCUACUGAGAUGGUAUAUUCAUUGAUGAUCAAUGAGGUGAUGCUGUGAUGCUGUGAGGAUAUUUUGGAGUUUCCUAUUAUUUCCAAUUUUUAAUGAAGUUGGAUAUUUCUUCUAUGGUACAAACAAUAGAAGAAACUUUUGGUAGAAAUUAAAAAAUAGUGAGGGGUAAAAUAGGGAUUCAUAAAUUACACCAUAGUGUGAUAGUUAUACUAUGUAUUUUAUAUUUUAUUACCUUAGCAUAUUACUUUUCUUUUGCAGUUUAAAAUUUGGGUAUAAUAUGGAAGUUACUUUAAUAAUAGAGCAAAGGCUAAAAUUGGAAUAUUAAAAUUACUCCAUCCAUGGCAG